GAACAUCCUUCAAUAAAAACUUAUAUAAUAGCCAAAAUAAGGUUGGCGAGUAUCUACCCAGAACCGUAAAUUACUGGACUAUAAGUAAAGAAAUGAAUGAA
RNAcentral lists this non-coding RNA (101 nucleotides) under Carnobacterium divergens. RNAcentral describes it as "Guanine sequence". It matches the Rfam family "Purine riboswitch aptamer". From Rfam's summary of the family: Riboswitches are metabolite binding domains within certain messenger RNAs that serve as precision sensors for their corresponding targets. Allosteric rearrangement of mRNA structure is mediated by ligand binding, and this results in modulation of gene expression. Lineage: Bacteria; Bacillati; Bacillota; Bacilli; Lactobacillales; Carnobacteriaceae. The record is from RNAcentral. RNAcentral also lists the same sequence under 1 other name.